RNAcentral lists this ribosomal RNA (554 nucleotides) under Rhizophagus intraradices. RNAcentral's name for it is "SSU rRNA". It matches the Rfam family "Eukaryotic small subunit ribosomal RNA", at positions 557 to 1112 of the family's 1831-position model. Lineage: Eukaryota; Fungi; Glomeromycota; Glomeromycetes; Glomerales; Glomeraceae. The record is from RNAcentral.
AAGUCUGGUGCCAGCAGCCGCGGUAAUUCCAGCUCCAAUAGCGUAUAUUAAAGUUGUUGCAGUUAAAAAGCUCGUAGUUGAAUUUCGGGGUUAGUAGGCUGGUCAUGCCACCGGUAUGUACUGGUCUUACUGAUUCCUCCUUCCUGAUGAACUGUAAUGCCAUUAAUUUGGUGUUGCAGGGAAUCUGGACUGUUACUUUGAAAAAAUUAGAGUGUUUAAAGCAGGCUAACGCUUGAAUACAUUAGCAUGGAAUAAUGAAAUAGGACGUUCGAUCCUAUUUUGUUGGUUUCUAGGAUUGACGUAAUGAUUAAUAGGGAUAGUUGGGGGCAUUAGUAUUCAAUUGUCAGAGGUGAAAUUCUUGGAUUUAUUGAAGACUAACUACUGCGAAAGCAUUUGCCAAGGAUGUUUUCAUUAAUCAAGAACGAAAGUUAGGGGAUCGAAGACGAUCAGAUACCGUCGUAGUCUUAACCAUAAACUAUGCCGACUAGGGAUCGGAUGAUGUUAAUUUUUUAAUGACUCAUUCGGCGCCUUACGGGAAACCAAAGUGUUUGGGU